AAACACCUUUUGAAAUGACCUCAACAAUUUUACCACCAAAAAGAGUCUUUUAUUCGGCUCACCCUAUCUUUCUUUUUGAGUCAUAUAGCUCAAUUUAUAUGUACAUAUUUCUGAUGACAAAACUUGACAAGAAAUCAACUUGUAGUCUAUGUAAUUUGUAAAACAUAUGUCAUAAUCUAUCUAUAACUAUAAAGUUGAAGUAUCUGCUUUUUUAGGCUGUCAACGUCAUUCUGGAGAGGAGGGGAAAUCGUGACACGUCAGCGUUUCUUAAGUCGUUGUCUCUGGGUUCCAUUGUUUUGUUGGGCCUUACAGCAUGCAGCCCAUCACGUGUUUUAGAACAUAAUGGUGACUAAACGCCCCGUUAAGGAUUAGGUUUACUCGGAGUGCUUCUCGCGUCUCCAGAUCGAAAGGCGACACCUCUUGCGCAGCUGACCUUCCGUCUCCUUCGUUGCAAGCACUCAAAAACCGAUCAAUCAAUCAUCUUUAAUCCCCCCCUUCCAUUAAUCUAUCACCCACGAUCUGGAUUCAAUGCGAUAUUGUUGAUGUGCAAGGCGUUUGAGUCGACUAUAAAAAGAUUUCACGACAUCAUCUUUAUGCUACCCGAGAACUUGGACUGAGAUAGAAAAUAUUGAGUUUUGAUAUGCUUUAAGUUUUAGAUCUUUCGGCCUCAUGUCAUUUUCAUAUGUCUGAUUUUUUGAAAAAUUUGACUGAGUGGAAUAUGCAUUCUUCCGCAAAGGAUCGUGAAUAUGACUCAAAGAGACAUGUAUGUUCAUGAUUGAAACAACGAUGGUUUCGUUUCUUUCUCUGAAUGUGUCUUCUCUUUUGAAUUAAUCCAUGGACGAGAGAGCUCAAGAGAUGCUCCACUUCAUCCACCCAUGCUGAAGCAGCUGAUUAUGCGACAGAUCCUUUGCAAAAGAGUAAGAAAAUAAUUGAGUUACACACUUUCUGAGAUGCUUUUGUGGUCCAUAUUAAUUUAAUCUAAUUGAGCAUGCGGCUCUGUAACAUGUAAUACAAAGAGCGUUAGGUACAGAGCUUUUGGAGACUUUGGUUUAGUAUGGUUAAGAUGGACAUUGGAGAUGAAUAUAUUUUCUCGGUCCUAACUCCUUUUGGAUUCUUUCCUUUAGAACUUCAACAGCAGCUCUGUCAAUGGCAUCUUUAUAUGGACAAAAAUUGCCUCUGUUGACUUAGUUUAGGGUCCUUCACCAAUCUACAAGCAGUUCCUUACGCCAGGCGGUGUAUUCACAACUAUAAAAGACGGGCGAUGUUCCUCCACCGUUGAGGUGCGACUGCUCAGAUUCUUGGCAGCAAGGAACGUCAAACUCGGUGGUGAGCUGAUGGCAUCGAUAUGCUUCUCCUCAUGAUUCUAAGAGACACAUAGCUGUUUCGACAAGGAGACUUAUGCAGGGGAAAGUUACUUUACAAGCUGGUCUCCAAAGACACUGGGAAUACAUCAGCAGCUUCACUUUUUAGAGGCUACGUAAAGGUUGAACGUUUGACCAUGGCUGAUCACAACGAGUUUAUCAUCACUACUCCAUCUCAGGAGAUUGACUUCGUUUGCCUGCACCUGGAAGGUCAACGGCAUCGAGAUGGACAAAGGGUGGUGUUAAGUUUCUUGCUCCAAGUGUACCAAGAAACUUCAGUGGAUUGUCUCAUCCUUUACCUGCGUGCACUGCAACAAUACUAAUGUUGUUGGUGUCCUCCGGUAUGUAUCAUUCAGUAACAUUUUAUUAUCAAUCAUUUGCACCAAAAGUCCACACACGCAGAUAUACCCAUGAUUUUAAAUGCAUGUUUACUGACUGAUAUCGUGUGGAGAUGACCAUUGCUAAUGAUACUGCUGAAGGUCUAUUUGAUGGUUUUGAUUGGGAAAUGACAAACUUACAUAACAUCAGUGCCUGUGAAGCUGGUUCUGUUGACAUGCAGGAAGCACUGACUACUGGAGCAGCUCCAAGUGGUGCCGCCAAUAAGAAGUCUCCAGCUGGAGCAGCUUCCAAGAUGGCCAAGAAAGCAUGGACGGCAUAGGUUAAGAUAAUAAGAGCUCUGGAUGCAGUAUUUCCUCUUUAAAUAACACAUCAGUGUUUCUUUACAAUUUUAGUUUUGUUUUCCCCCUCUGGAGCUAUGUUUGGUUCGGACAAUCUUUAUAAAAUUUAAGUUCUUUUUUAAAACAAAAUCUGUCUAAGUUUAAAUUAGUCGAUAUAUUACUCAUGUCAUUUAACUACUCAGGAUUAGUUUUUUUGUU
Brassica napus (rape) is the source of this 2236-nucleotide long non-coding RNA. RefSeq lists it as uncharacterized. NCBI's taxonomy places the organism in Eukaryota, Viridiplantae, Streptophyta, Magnoliopsida, Brassicales, Brassicaceae. The record is from RefSeq and is a predicted model, not a curated record. The transcript is spliced from 8 exons.